AAUACUGGAUAUGUGACGUGACCGCAUGGUCUGCGUCUGGAAAGAAUUUCGGUUGGGGAUGGGCUCGCGGCCUAUCAGCUUGUUGGUGAGGUAAUGGCUCACCAAGGCGUCGACGGGUAGCCGGCCUGAGAGGGUGACCGGCCACACUGGGACUGAGACACGGCCCAGACUCCUACGGGAGGCAGCAGUGGGGAAUAUUGCACAAUGGGCGCAAGCCUGAUGCAGCAACGCCGCGUGAGGGACGACGGCCUUCGGGUUGUAAACCUCUUUUAGCAGGGAAGAAGCGAAAGUGACGGUACCUGCAGAAAAAGCGCCGGCUAACUACGUGCCAGCAGCCGCGGUAAUACGUAGGGCGCAAGCGUUAUCCGGAAUUAUUGGGCGUAAAGAGCUCGUAGGCGGUUUGUCGCGUCUGCUGUGAAAUCCGGAGGCUCAACCUCCGGCCUGCAGUGGGUACGGGCAGACUAGAGUGCGGUAGGGGAGAUUGGAAUUCCUGGUGUAGCGGUGGAAUGCGCAGAUAUCAGGAGGAACACCGAUGGCGAAGGCAGAUCUCUGGGCCGUAACUGACGCUGA
This 570-nucleotide ribosomal RNA is filed under the name Microbacterium sp. Its description in RNAcentral is "bacterial SSU rRNA". It matches the Rfam family "Bacterial small subunit ribosomal RNA", at positions 165 to 749 of the family's 1533-position model. Lineage: Bacteria; Bacillati; Actinomycetota; Actinomycetes; Micrococcales; Microbacteriaceae. The record is from RNAcentral.